AUUGAACGCUGGCGGCAGGCCUAACACAUGCAAGUCGAGCGGAUGAAGGGAGCUUGCUCCUGGAUUCAGCGGCGGACGGGUGAGUAAUGCCUAGGAAUCUGCCUGGUAGUGGGGGAUAAUGUCCGGAAACGGGCGCUAAUACCGCAUACGUCCUGAGGGAGAAAGUGGGGGAUCUUCGGACCUCACGCUAUCAGAUGAGCCUAGGUCGGAUUAGCUAGUUGGUGGGGUAAAGGCCUACCAAGGCGACGAUCCGUAACUGGUCUGAGAGGAUGAUCAGUCACACUGGAACUGAGACACGGUCCAGACUCCUACGGGAGGCAGCAGUGGGGAAUAUUGGACAAUGGGCGAAAGCCUGAUCCAGCCAUGCCGCGUGUGUGAAGAAGGUCUUCGGAUUGUAAAGCACUUUAAGUUGGGAGGAAGGGCAGUAAGUUAAUACCUUGCUGUUCUGACGUUACCAACAGAAUAAGCACCGGCUAACUUCGUG
RNAcentral lists this ribosomal RNA (484 nucleotides) under uncultured bacterium. Its description in RNAcentral is "partial 16S ribosomal RNA". It matches the Rfam family "Bacterial small subunit ribosomal RNA", at positions 30 to 507 of the family's 1533-position model. The record is from RNAcentral.